UACGUAGGUGGCAAGCGUUGUCCGGAUUUACUGGGCGUAAAGGAUGCGUAGGUGGAUACUUAAGUGAGAUGUGAAAUCCCCGAGCUUAACUUGGGAGCUGCAUUUCAAACUGGGUAUCUAGAGUGCAGGAGAGGUAAGUGGAAUUCCUAGUGUAGCGGUGAAAUGCGUAGAGAUUAGGAAGAACACCAGUGGCGAAGGCGACUUACUGGACUGUAACUGACACUGAGGCAUGAAAGCGUGGGGAGCAAACAGG
RNAcentral lists this ribosomal RNA (253 nucleotides) under uncultured bacterium. RNAcentral describes it as "partial 16S ribosomal RNA". It matches the Rfam family "Bacterial small subunit ribosomal RNA", at positions 524 to 776 of the family's 1533-position model. The record is from RNAcentral.